Molecule: small nucleolar RNA, 132 nt
Organism: Eptesicus fuscus (big brown bat)
Lineage: Eukaryota; Metazoa; Chordata; Mammalia; Chiroptera; Vespertilionidae
Product: small nucleolar RNA SNORA51
Exons: 1
Source: RefSeq, a predicted model, not a curated record
GACGUCCCAUGCUUACCCACAGGCUGUGUUCUUACAGUGCCUGUACAGAAAGAGGAGGCAGUGUAGACUCACCCCAUAUAUACCUCAGCCCAGGCCCUUUGCCUGGUCAGCAUUGUGAAUGGCUGGAUUGUU